AACGAACGCUGGCGGCAUGCCUAACACAUGCAAGUCGAACGAGACCUUCGGGCCUAGUGGCGCACGGGUGCGUAACACGUGGGAAUCUGCCCUUUGCUUCGGAAUAACAGUUAGAAAUGACUGCUAAUACCGGAUGAUGUCGAAAGACCAAAGAUUUAUCGGCAAAGGAUGAGCCCGCGUAGGAUUAGGUAGUUGGUGGGGUAAAGGCCUACCAAGCCGACGAUCCUUAGCUGGUCUGAGAGGAUGAUCAGCCACACUGGGACUGAGACACGGCCCAGACUCCUACGGGAGGCAGCAGUGGGGAAUAUUGGACAAUGGGCGAAAGCCUGAUCCAGCAAUGCCGCGUGAGUGAUGAAGGCCUUAGGGUUGUAAAGCUCUUUUGCCAGGGAUGAUAAUGACAGUACCUGGAGAAUAAGCUCCGGCUAACUCCGUG
This 433-nucleotide ribosomal RNA is filed under the name uncultured bacterium. RNAcentral's name for it is "partial 16S ribosomal RNA". It matches the Rfam family "Bacterial small subunit ribosomal RNA", at positions 29 to 507 of the family's 1533-position model. The record is from RNAcentral.